AUGGACGCGGCGGCGGCCGCCGCGGCCGCUGCCUCGUCGCCAAACCCUAGCUUCUCUCCCGGCGGCGGCGGCGGGGAGAGGGAGAAGGCGGCCAUCGCGGCGCACCCGCUGUACGAGCGGCUCCUGGAGGCCCACGUCGCCUGCCUCCGCGUCGCCACCCCCGUCGACCAGCUCCCCCGCAUCGACGCGCAGAUCGCGGCCCGCCCGCCCCCCCUCGCCGCCGCCGCCGCCGCCGCGGGCGGGCCCUCCGGAGGCGAGGAGCUCGACCUCUUCAUGACACAUUAUGUAUUGCUUCUCUGUUCAUUUAAAGAACAACUCCAGCAGCAUGUGCGUGUUCAUGCAAUGGAAGCAGUGAUGGGUUGUUGGGAGCUUGAACAAUCCUUACAAAGUCUAACAGGGGCAUCUCCUGGUGAAGGCACUGGGGCGACUAUGUCCGAUGAUGAAGAUAACCAAGUGGAUAGUGAGACCAACAUGUUUGAUGGAAACGAUGGGUCAGAUGGUAUGGGCUUUGGUCCCCUGAUAUUGACCGAGGGUGAACGGUCUUUGAUUGAACGUGUUCGGCAUGAGCUGAAGAGUGAGCUUAAACAGGGGUACAAAGAAAAGCUGGUUGAUAUCAGGGAGGAGAUCAUGCGCAAGAGGAGAGCUGGUAAACUUCCCGGGGAUACUGCAGCUACAUUGAAAGCCUGGUGGCAAGCUCAUUCCAAGUGGCCGUACCCUACCGAAGACGACAAGGCUCGCCUGGUGCAGGAGACGGGGUUACAACUGAAGCAGAUCAACAAUUGGUUCAUCAACCAACGCAAAAGGAACUGGCACAGCAGCAACACAGCUUCCUCUAGCGAAAAGACCAAGAAGAAAAGAAACGUUACAGGUAAUGACGGCACGGAGCAAUCGUGGUAG
RNAcentral lists this ribosomal RNA (897 nucleotides) under Triticum aestivum (bread wheat). RNAcentral describes it as "partial small subunit ribosomal RNA". Lineage: Eukaryota; Viridiplantae; Streptophyta; Magnoliopsida; Poales; Poaceae. The record is from RNAcentral.